This 57-nucleotide transfer RNA is filed under the name Fukomys damarensis (Damara mole-rat). It matches the Rfam family "tRNA", at positions 8 to 63 of the family's 71-position model. From Rfam's summary of the family: Transfer RNA (tRNA) molecules are approximately 80 nucleotides in length. Their secondary structure includes four short double-helical elements and three loops (D, anti-codon, and T loops). The record is from Rfam by way of RNAcentral. Lineage: Eukaryota; Metazoa; Chordata; Mammalia; Rodentia; Bathyergidae.
UGGCUCAGUGGUACAGCGCUUGCCUAACAUGCAAGAAGCCCUGGGUUUGAUCUCCAG